UAGUGGUUACACAUGCAAGUCGGGAGGGAAGUGGGGUUUUCAGCGGCAACUGCCUUGUAAGCUGAGAAGCAAAAGAAGGAAUCUGCCAGAGAAGAGGCUCGCAUUUCAUUAGCUAAUAUUUGAGGUAAUAGCUUACCAAGAUGAUGAUCGGUAGUUGGUUCUAAAAGAAGCCAAACUAAGACUGAGACACAUCCUAGGCUCCAAUCAGAGGCAGGAGUGGGGAAUUUUCUGCAAUUGAUGAAAACUUUGACGGAACAAUGCUGCAUCGAGGUAGAAGGUUCACGGGUCGUGAACUUCUUUUCCCAGAAAAAAAAAAAGAAAAAAAAAGCAAUGAUGGUAUCUAGAAAAUAAUCAUCCACAAACUCUAUGCCAAUUGUUCCAAUCCCGUGUUUGAUA
Molecule: non-coding RNA, 396 nt
Filed under: Populus trichocarpa (black cottonwood)
Lineage: Eukaryota; Viridiplantae; Streptophyta; Magnoliopsida; Malpighiales; Salicaceae
Description: Bacterial small subunit ribosomal RNA
Rfam family: Bacterial small subunit ribosomal RNA
Source: Rfam by way of RNAcentral